This 335-nucleotide ribosomal RNA is filed under the name uncultured bacterium. RNAcentral's name for it is "bacterial SSU rRNA". It matches the Rfam family "Bacterial small subunit ribosomal RNA", at positions 568 to 899 of the family's 1533-position model. The record is from RNAcentral.
CGCGUAGGUGGUAGUGCAAGUCUGAGGUGGAAUCUUAGGGCUUAACCCUAAAAUUGCCUUGGAAACUGCAUUACUUGAGUCAGUGAGGGGAGGGUAGAAUUCCUGGUGUAGCGGUGAAAUGCGUAGAUAUCAGGAGGAAGGCCGGUGGCGAAGGCGGCCCUCUGGCGCUGAACUGACACUGAGGCGCGAAAGCGUGGGGAGCAAACAGGAUUAGAUACCCUGGUAGUCCACGCCCUAAACGGUGGGUACUAGGUGUAGGGCCUCGUAAGGGUUCUGUGCCGAAAGCGAAAAGCAUUAAGUACCCCGCCUGGGGAGUACGGCCGCAAAGGUUGAAA